This 468-nucleotide ribosomal RNA is filed under the name uncultured bacterium. Its description in RNAcentral is "partial 16S ribosomal RNA". It matches the Rfam family "Bacterial small subunit ribosomal RNA", at positions 28 to 507 of the family's 1533-position model. The record is from RNAcentral.
GACGAACGCUGGCGGCGUGCUUAACACAUGCAAGUCGAACGGAAAGGCCCUGCUUUUGUGGGGUGCUCGAGUGGCGAACGGGUGAGUAACACGUGAGUAACCUGCCCUUGACUUUGGGAUAACUUCAGGAAACUGGGGCUAAUACCGGAUAGGAGCUCCUGCUGCAUGGUGGGGGUUGGAAAGUUUCGGCGGUUGGGGAUGGACUCGCGGCUUAUCAGCUUGUUGGUGGGGUAGUGGCUUACCAAGGCUUUGACGGGUAGCCGGCCUGAGAGGGUGACCGGCCACAUUGGGACUGAGAUACGGCCCAGACUCCUACGGGAGGCAGCGGGGGGGAAUAUUACACAAUGGGCGGGAGCCUGAUGCAGCAACGCCGCGUGCGGGAUGACGGCCUUCGGGUGGUAAACCGCUUUCGCCUGUGACGAAGCGUGAGUGACGGUAAUGGGUAAAGAAGCACCGGCUAACUACGUG